UACGGGGGGGGCAAGCGUUGUUCGGAAUUACUGGGCGUAAAGGGCUCGUAGGCGGCCAACUAAGUCAGACGUGAAAUCCCUCGGCUUAACCGGGGAACUGCGUCUGAUACUGGAUGGCUUGAGUUCGGGAGAGGGAUGCGGAAUUCCAGGUGUAGCGGUGAAAUGCGUAGAUAUCUGGAGGGACACCGGUGGCGAAGGCGGCAUCCUGGACCGAUACUGACGCUGAGGAGCGAAAGCCAGGGGAGCAAACGGG
This 253-nucleotide ribosomal RNA is filed under the name uncultured bacterium. RNAcentral describes it as "partial 16S ribosomal RNA". It matches the Rfam family "Bacterial small subunit ribosomal RNA", at positions 524 to 776 of the family's 1533-position model. The record is from RNAcentral.